Molecule: ribosomal RNA, 253 nt
Filed under: uncultured bacterium
Lineage: Bacteria
Description: partial 16S ribosomal RNA
Rfam family: Bacterial small subunit ribosomal RNA
Source: RNAcentral
UACAGAGGGGGCAAGCGUUGUUCGGAAUUACUGGGCGUAAAGGGCGCGUAGGCGGCCUGCUAAGUCGAACGUGAAAUCCCUGGGCUCAACCCAGGAACUGCGUCCGAUACUGGUUGGCUUGAAUCCGGGAGAGGGAUGUGGAAUUCCAGGUGUAGCGGUGAAAUGCGUAGAUAUCUGGAGGAACACCGAUGGCGAAGGCAGUUCUCUGGGCCGUAACUGACGCUGAGGAGCGAAAGCGUGGGGAGCGAACAGG